Molecule: ribosomal RNA, 542 nt
Filed under: uncultured Gammaproteobacteria bacterium
Lineage: Bacteria; Pseudomonadati; Pseudomonadota; Gammaproteobacteria
Description: bacterial SSU rRNA
Rfam family: Bacterial small subunit ribosomal RNA
Source: RNAcentral
GGCGGCGUGCCUAACACAUGCAAGUCGAGCGGUAACAGGUGUAGCAAUACAUGCUGACGAGCGGCGAACGGGUGAGUAAUGCUUUGGAAUCUUCCCAGUAGUGGGGAAUAACCAGUCGAAAGAUUGGCUAAUACCGCAUACGUCUGAAAAGGGAAAGCGGGGGCUCGUAAGACCUCGCGCUAUUGGAUGAGCCAAAGUCGGAUUAGCUAGUUGGUGGGGUAAUGGCCUACCAAGGCGACAAUCCGUAGCUGGUCUGAGAGGACGACCAGCCACACCGGAACUGAGACACGGUCCGGACUCCUACGGGAGGCAGCAGUGGGGAAUAUUGGACAAUGGGGGAAACCCUGAUCCAGCGACGCCGCGUGUGUGAAGAAGGCCUGCGGGUUGUAAAGCACUUUUAGUGGGGACAAAAAGCUACGGAUUAAUACUCUGUGGUCUUGAUUUAACCCAAAGAAAAAGCACCGGCUAACUCUGUGCCAGCAGCCGCGGUAAUACAGAGGGUGCGAGCGUUAAUCGGAAUUACUGGGCGUAAAGCGCGCGUA